Molecule: ribosomal RNA, 482 nt
Filed under: uncultured bacterium
Lineage: Bacteria
Description: bacterial SSU rRNA
Rfam family: Bacterial small subunit ribosomal RNA
Source: RNAcentral
CUACGUGCCAGCAGCCGCGGUAAUACGUAGGGUGCGAGCGUUAAUCGGAAUUACUGGGCGUAAAGCGAGCGCAGACGGUUACUUAAGCAGGAUGUGAAAUCCCCGGGCUCAACCUGGGAACUGCGUUCUGAACUGGGUGACUAGAGUGUGUCAGAGGGAGGUAGAAUUCCACGUGUAGCAGUGAAAUGCGUAGAGAUGUGGAGGAAUACCGAUGGCGAAGGCAGCCUCCUGGGAUAACACUGACGUUCAUGCUCGAAAGCGUGGGUAGCAAACAGGAUUAGAUACCCUGGUAGUCCACGCCCUAAACGAUGUCAAUUAGCUGUUGGGCAACUUGAUUGCUUAGUAGCGUAGCUAACGCGUGAAAUUGACCGCCUGGGGAGUACGGUCGCAAGAUUAAAACUCAAAGGAAUUGACGGGGACCCGCACAAGCGGUGGAUGAUGUGGAUUAAUUCGAUGCAACGCGAAGAACCUUACCUGGUCUU